AGGGACUUAGGCUAAUUUCCAGACCAAGGGCCUUCAAAGCCCUAAGCGAGAGUUAAAAUCUUUCAGUCCCUG
Molecule: transfer RNA, 72 nt
Filed under: Pentapodus setosus (butterfly whiptail)
Lineage: Eukaryota; Metazoa; Chordata; Actinopteri; Spariformes; Nemipteridae
Description: tRNA-Trp
Rfam family: tRNA
About the family: Transfer RNA (tRNA) molecules are approximately 80 nucleotides in length. Their secondary structure includes four short double-helical elements and three loops (D, anti-codon, and T loops).
Source: RNAcentral